GGCCUCUGGUGGGUAGUCAGUGCUGGUAGGGACAGCUGAGACACUGAUGAAAGCAAAGGGCUCUGAUGGCAGAAC
Erinaceus europaeus (western European hedgehog) is the source of this 75-nucleotide small nucleolar RNA. The record is from Ensembl. Lineage: Eukaryota; Metazoa; Chordata; Mammalia; Eulipotyphla; Erinaceidae.